GAUGAACGCUGGCGGCAUGCCUAAUACAUGCAAGUCGAGCGAACAGACGAGGAGCUUGCUCCUCUGACGUUAGCGGCGGACGGGUGAGUAACACGUGGAUAACCUACCUAUAAGACUGGGAUAACUUCGGGAAACCGGAGCUAAUACCGGAUAAUAUAUUGAACCGCAUGGUUCAAUAGUGAAAGACGGUUUUGCUGUCACUUAUAGAUGGAUCCGCGCCGCAUUAGCUAGUUGGUAAGGUAACGGCUUACCAAGGCAACGAUGCGUAGCCGACCUGAGAGGGUGAUCGGCCACACUGGAACUGAGACACGGUCCAGACUCCUACGGGAGGCAGCAGUAGGGAAUCUUCCGCAAAGGGCGAAAGCCUGACGGAGCAACGCCGCGUGAGUGAUGAAGGUCUUCGGAUCGUAAAACUCUGUUAUUAGGGAAGAACAAAUGUGUAAGUAACUAUGCACGUCUUGACGGUACCUAAUCAGAAAGCCACGGCUAACUACGUG
Molecule: ribosomal RNA, 497 nt
Filed under: uncultured bacterium
Lineage: Bacteria
Description: partial 16S ribosomal RNA
Rfam family: Bacterial small subunit ribosomal RNA
Source: RNAcentral